This 296-nucleotide ribosomal RNA is filed under the name uncultured Eubacterium sp. RNAcentral describes it as "partial 16S ribosomal RNA". It matches the Rfam family "Bacterial small subunit ribosomal RNA", at positions 592 to 891 of the family's 1533-position model. Lineage: Bacteria; Bacillati; Bacillota; Clostridia; Eubacteriales; Eubacteriaceae. The record is from RNAcentral.
AUGUGAAAAUGCGGGGCUCAACUCCGUAUUGCGUUGGAAACUGGUAGACUAGAGUACUGGAGAGGUGGGCGGAACUACAAGUGUAGAGGUGGAAUUCGUAGAUAUUUGUAGGAAUGCCGAUGGAGAAGUCAGCUCACUGGACAGAUACUGACGCUAAAGCGCGAAAGCGUGGGGAGCAAACAGGAUUAGAUACCCUGGUAGUCCACGCCGUAAACGAUGAUCACUAGGUGUUGGGAGUCAAAUCUCAGCGCCCAAGCUAACGCGAUAAGUGAUCCGCCUGGGGAGUACGUACGCAA